RNAcentral lists this ribosomal RNA (440 nucleotides) under uncultured bacterium. Its description in RNAcentral is "partial 16S ribosomal RNA". It matches the Rfam family "Bacterial small subunit ribosomal RNA", at positions 338 to 795 of the family's 1533-position model. The record is from RNAcentral.
CCUACGGGCGGCAGCAGUGGGGGAUAUUGCACAAUGGGGGAAACCCUGAUGCAGCGACGCCGCGUGGGUGAAGAAGCGCCUCGGCGCGUAAAGCCCUGUCAGCAGGGAAGAAAAUGACGGUACCUGAAGAAGAAGCCCCGGCUAACUACGAGCCAGCAGCCGCGGUAAUACGUAGGGGGCAACCGUUAUCCGGAUUUACGGGGGGUAAAGGGGGCGCAGACGGCGAUGCAAGCCAGGAGUGAAAGCCCGGGGCCCAACCCCGGGACUGCUCUUGGAACUGCGUGGCUAGAGUGCAGGAGGGGCAGGCGGAAUUCCUGGUGUAGCGGUGAAAUGCGUAGAUAUCAGGAGGAACACCGGUGGCGAAGGCGGCCUGCUGGACUGCAACUGACGUUGAGGCCCGAAAGCGUGGGGAGCAAACAGGAUUAGAUACCCCAGUAGUC